RNAcentral lists this ribosomal RNA (2906 nucleotides) under Escherichia coli. RNAcentral's name for it is "23S ribosomal RNA". It matches the Rfam family "Bacterial large subunit ribosomal RNA". The record is from RNAcentral. Lineage: Bacteria; Pseudomonadati; Pseudomonadota; Gammaproteobacteria; Enterobacterales; Enterobacteriaceae.
GGUUAAGCGACUAAGCGUACACGGUGGAUGCCCUGGCAGUCAGAGGCGAUGAAGGACGUGCUAAUCUGCGAUAAGCGUCGGUAAGGUGAUAUGAACCGUUAUAACCGGCGAUUUCCGAAUGGGGAAACCCAGUGUGAUUCGUCACACUAUCAUUAACUGAAUCCAUAGGUUAAUGAGGCGAACCGGGGGAACUGAAACAUCUAAGUACCCCGAGGAAAAGAAAUCAACCGAGAUUCCCCCAGUAGCGGCGAGCGAACGGGGAGCAGCCCAGAGCCUGAAUCAGUGUGUGUGUUAGUGGAAGCGUCUGGAAAGGCGCGCGAUACAGGGUGACAGCCCCGUACACAAAAAUGCACAUACUGUGAGCUCGAUGAGUAGGGCGGGACACGUGGUAUCCUGUCUGAAUAUGGGGGGACCAUCCUCCAAGGCUAAAUACUCCUGACUGACCGAUAGUGAACCAGUACCGUGAGGGAAAGGCGAAAAGAACCCCGGCGAGGGGAGUGAAAAAGAACCUGAAACCGUGUACGUACAAGCAGUGGGAGCACAGAGCAAUCUGUGUGACUGCGUACCUUUUGUAUAAUGGGUCAGCGACUUAUAUUCUGUAGCAAGGUUAACCGAAUAGGGGAGCCGAAGGGAAACCGAGUCUUAACUGGGCGUUAAGUUGCAGGGUAUAGACCCGAAACCCGGUGAUCUAGCCAUGGGCAGGUUGAAGGUUGGGUAACACUAACUGGAGGACCGAACCGACUAAUGUUGAAAAAUUAGCGGAUGACUUGUGGCUGGGGGUGAAAGGCCAAUCAAACCGGGAGAUAGCUGGUUCUCCCCGAAAGCUAUUUAGGUAGCGCCUCGUGAAUUCAUCUCCGGGGGUAGAGCACUGUUUCGGCAAGGGGGUCAUCCCGACUUACCAACCCGAUGCAAACUGCGAAUACCGGAGAAUGUUAUCACGGGAGACACACGGCGGGUGCUAACGUCCGUCGUGAAGAGGGAAACAACCCAGACCGCCAGCUAAGGUCCCAAAGUCAUGGUUAAGUGGGAAACGAUGUGGGAAGGCCCAGACAGCCAGGAUGUUGGCUUAGAAGCAGCCAUCAUUUAAAGAAAGCGUAAUAGCUCACUGGUCGAGUCGGCCUGCGCGGAAGAUGUAACGGGGCUAAACCAUGCACCGAAGCUGCGGCAGCGACGCUGAUGCGUUGUUGGGUAGGGGAGCGUUCUGUAAGCCUGUGAAGGUGUGCUGUGAGGCAUGCUGGAGGUAUCAGAAGUGCGAAUGCUGACAUAAGUAACGAUAAAGCGGGUGAAAAGCCCGCUCGCCGGAAGACCAAGGGUUCCUGUCCAACGUUAAUCGGGGCAGGGUGAGUCGACCCCUAAGGCGAGGCCGAAAGGCGUAGUCGAUGGGAAACAGGUUAAUAUUCCUGUACUUGGUGUUACUGCGAAGGGGGGACGGAGAAGGCUAUGUUGGCCGGGCGACGGUUGUCCCGGUUUAAGCGUGUAGGCUGGUUUUCCAGGCAAAUCCGGAAAAUCAAGGCUGAGGCGUGAUGACGAGGCACUACGGUGCUGAAGCAACAAAUGCCCUGCUUCCAGGAAAAGCCUCUAAGCAUCAGGUAACAUCAAAUCGUACCCCAAACCGACACAGGUGGUCAGGUAGAGAAUACCAAGGCGCUUGAGAGAACUCGGGUGAAGGAACUAGGCAAAAUGGUGCCGUAACUUCGGGAGAAGGCACGCUGAUAUGUAGGUGAAGUCCCUCGCGGAUGGAGCUGAAAUCAGUCGAAGAUACCAGCUGGCUGCAACUGUUUAUUAAAAACACAGCACUGUGCAAACACGAAAGUGGACGUAUACGGUGUGACGCCUGCCCGGUGCCGGAAGGUUAAUUGAUGGGGUUAGCGCAAGCGAAGCUCUUGAUCGAAGCCCCGGUAAACGGCGGCCGUAACUAUAACGGUCCUAAGGUAGCGAAAUUCCUUGUCGGGUAAGUUCCGACCUGCACGAAUGGCGUAAUGAUGGCCAGGCUGUCUCCACCCGAGACUCAGUGAAAUUGAACUCGCUGUGAAGAUGCAGUGUACCCGCGGCAAGACGGAAAGACCCCGUGAACCUUUACUAUAGCUUGACACUGAACAUUGAGCCUUGAUGUGUAGGAUAGGUGGGAGGCUUUGAAGUGUGGACGCCAGUCUGCAUGGAGCCGACCUUGAAAUACCACCCUUUAAUGUUUGAUGUUCUAACGUUGACCCGUAAUCCGGGUUGCGGACAGUGUCUGGUGGGUAGUUUGACUGGGGCGGUCUCCUCCUAAAGAGUAACGGAGGAGCACGAAGGUUGGCUAAUCCUGGUCGGACAUCAGGAGGUUAGUGCAAUGGCAUAAGCCAGCUUGACUGCGAGCGUGACGGCGCGAGCAGGUGCGAAAGCAGGUCAUAGUGAUCCGGUGGUUCUGAAUGGAAGGGCCAUCGCUCAACGGAUAAAAGGUACUCCGGGGAUAACAGGCUGAUACCGCCCAAGAGUUCAUAUCGACGGCGGUGUUUGGCACCUCGAUGUCGGCUCAUCACAUCCUGGGGCUGAAGUAGGUCCCAAGGGUAUGGCUGUUCGCCAUUUAAAGUGGUACGCGAGCUGGGUUUAGAACGUCGUGAGACAGUUCGGUCCCUAUCUGCCGUGGGCGCUGGAGAACUGAGGGGGGCUGCUCCUAGUACGAGAGGACCGGAGUGGACGCAUCACUGGUGUUCGGGUUGUCAUGCCAAUGGCACUGCCCGGUAGCUAAAUGCGGAAGAGAUAAGUGCUGAAAGCAUCUAAGCACGAAACUUGCCCCGAGAUGAGUUCUCCCUGACUCCUUGAGAGUCCUGAAGGAACGUUGAAGACGACGACGUUGAUAGGCCGGAUGUGUAAGCGCAGCGAUGCGUUGAGCUAACCGGUACUAAUGAACCGUGAGGCUUAACCUU